AUUGAACGCUGGCGGCAGGCCUAACACAUGCAAGUCGAGCGGAUGAAGGGAGCUUGCUCCUGGAUUCAGCGGCGGACGGGUGAGUAAUGCCUAGGAAUCUGCCUGGUAGUGGGGGAUAACGUCCGGAAACGGGCGCUAAUACCGCAUACGUCCUGAGGGAGAAAGUGGGGGAUCUUCGGACCUCACGCUAUCAGAUGAGCCUAGGUCGGAUUAGCUAGUUGGUGGGGUAAAGGCCUACCAAGGCGACGAUCCGUAACUGGUCUGAGAGGAUGAUCAGUCACACUGGAACUGAGACACGGUCCAGACUCCUACGGGAGGCAGCAGUGGGGAAUAUUGGACGAUGGGCGAAAGCCUGAUACAGCCAUGCCGCGUGUGUGAAGAAGGUCUUCGGAUUGUAAAGCACUUUAAGUUGGGAGGAAGGGCAGUAAGUUAAUACCUUGCUGUUUUGACGUUACCAACAGAAUAAGCACCGGCUAACUUCGUG
Molecule: ribosomal RNA, 484 nt
Filed under: uncultured bacterium
Lineage: Bacteria
Description: partial 16S ribosomal RNA
Rfam family: Bacterial small subunit ribosomal RNA
Source: RNAcentral